This 357-nucleotide ribosomal RNA is filed under the name uncultured bacterium. RNAcentral describes it as "bacterial SSU rRNA". It matches the Rfam family "Bacterial small subunit ribosomal RNA", at positions 355 to 709 of the family's 1533-position model. The record is from RNAcentral.
UGAGGAAUAUUGGACAAUGGACGCAAGCCUGAUCCAGCCAUGCCGCGUGCAGGAUGACGGUCCUAUGGAUUGUAAACUGCUUUUGUACAGGAAGAAACAGUUCUACGUGUAGAACCUUGACGGUACUGUAAGAAUAAGGAUCGGCUAACUCCGUGCCAGCAGCCGCGGUAAUACGGAGGAUCCAAGCGUUAUCCGGAAUCAUUGGGUUUAAAGGGUCCGUAGGCGGUUAGAUAAGUCAGUGGUGAAAGCCCAUCGCUCAACGGUGGAACGGCCAUUGAUACUGUCUGACUUGAAUUAUUAGGAAGUAACUAGAAUAUGUAGUGUAGCGGUGAAAUGCUUAGAGAUUACAUGGAAUAC